This 68-nucleotide transfer RNA is filed under the name Marmota marmota marmota (Alpine marmot). It matches the Rfam family "tRNA". From Rfam's summary of the family: Transfer RNA (tRNA) molecules are approximately 80 nucleotides in length. Their secondary structure includes four short double-helical elements and three loops (D, anti-codon, and T loops). The record is from Rfam by way of RNAcentral. Lineage: Eukaryota; Metazoa; Chordata; Mammalia; Rodentia; Sciuridae. RNAcentral also lists the same sequence under 3 other names.
GGUGUAUAGCUUAGUGGUAGAGUGCUUGACUAACAUCUGUGAGGCCCUGGGUUCAAUCCCCAGCACCA